RNAcentral lists this ribosomal RNA (203 nucleotides) under uncultured Alphaproteobacteria bacterium. Its description in RNAcentral is "partial 16S ribosomal RNA". It matches the Rfam family "Bacterial small subunit ribosomal RNA", at positions 604 to 806 of the family's 1533-position model. Lineage: Bacteria; Pseudomonadati; Pseudomonadota; Alphaproteobacteria. The record is from RNAcentral.
AAAGCUUAACUUUGGAACUGCAAUUAAAACUGCUCGACUAGAGUUUGAUAGAGGAAAGCGUAAUACAUAGUGUAGAGGUGAAAUUCGUAGAUAUUAUGUAGAACACCAGUUGCGAAGGCGGCUUUCUGGAUCAACACUGACGCUGAGGCGCGAAAGUAUGGGUAGCAAAGAGGAUUAGAUACCCUCGUAGUCCAUACCAUAAA